This is an RNA transcript of Zophobas morio, 6022 nucleotides long. It is a transcript of the gene named serine/threonine-protein kinase MARK2-like, with no coding region annotated. The transcript has 15 exons. The record is from RefSeq and is a predicted model, not a curated record. Lineage: Eukaryota; Metazoa; Arthropoda; Insecta; Coleoptera; Tenebrionidae.
CCACUAGUAGUGCCAAGACGCCUGUUAAAGUUAGCUCAGAUGCCAAUAAGUCAUCCCGUUACAACUACCACACACCUUCAUCUACAAAUAAGAGUUAAAUAAUGAGUGACAUCAGCCAGUGUGAUAAGAUUGAUGAAGAUAAAACAAGUAAGAAAGUAAGACAUUCCUGGAGUUUUAAUAAUUUCGACUUUGGAAUACAGCUACUGAAAGAUAGAAGGCAGAAAAUAUCACACGGUGGUAAAUAUUCCGACCGAUAUAAAGAAACUUUUGCUCAUAACGAAUCAGAAGAUAAAAGUUUAAGUGUUUACGAACGUUUGCGUAAAACGUCGGCUCCCGAUAGACCGGAAAACAUGGAGAAAAACCACACUGCGCUCGAUAAAUUUAAAUUUACGGCAAAAAGUAAAAGCAAUGCUACUAACGAUUUAAAUAAAGCUCACAAUACGUUGACUGGCUACAAGCAAGUCGGCGAUGGGAAAACCCACAAGCCUUUACAAGUGAGUCCUGGUGGCCUCUUGAAAAAGAAGGAUAAGCACGUCUAUCACGUCACAGCUCCCGAGAAAUCUGGCACCCCCUCACCUCAAUCGCAGAAGAAAUCUGUGGCACUUCAACAAAUUUUGGGAGCAACAAACGAUCAUAAAUCCGAAAUGUCUCCCCCUCUACCUAACAGAAAACACAUCCCUGUAAACUUAAUUCUAAAGGAACCCACUGACGGGGACUCUACUAUGGGACAUCUCCAGCCAGUUGAAAUGAUUAUAAGUAAACUGAAUAAAAAGGAGAAGGAAAUUGAAAAUUUGAAAAAAUUUGAAGAUCUGGUCAAAAAAGCGCAUGGACCUCCAGCAAAGGUUAAUCCCACUGUGGUAGAGAAAUCUCAUGAUUAUCUUAAGUCACAGGAGCACAUCUUGAAUCCAAUCAAACACUGUAACGAGGUCGAAGAUUUGCAACAAAAAGAUUUAAGAUUUAUAGAGGAAGUAGAUGGAUCCCAAUUUCAGAGAAAUACGAAAGGACGCAAAAGCUUGACUGUAGAAAAUGACAACAAAAACAAAAAAAACGUGCCCCUGGAUCGAACGGCGUCGGAUGCGCAAGACAGAGAAAUCAAACUUAAACCUCGCAUUACUAAAACAGUAAAUCGUAAUGUUGCAAAGAGCAAUGACAGUUCGGUGGAAUCAACACGAAGCGGUACAGCGUCAACACGAAAUAGACCGAGGGUAGGAGAGGAACCAACAAUAGGAAAAUACAAAUUACUUAAAACUAUCGGCAAAGGCAAUUUUGCCAAAGUCAAACUAGCAAAACAUGUCCCCACUGGAAAAGAAGUGGCCAUCAAGAUCAUCGAUAAAACGCAACUUAAUCCUAGCUCACUGCAGAAAUUAUUUAGAGAAGUAAGGAUAAUGAAAAUGUUAGACCAUCCGAAUAUCGUAAAAUUAUUUCAAGUCAUUGAGACUGAAAAAACGUUGUACCUGGUAAUGGAAUAUGCCUCUGGAGGCGAAGUAUUUGAUUAUUUAGUUCUACAUGGAAGGAUGAAGGAAAAAGAAGCUCGAUCCAAAUUUAGGCAAAUUGUAUCAGCGGUGCAGUACUGUCAUCAAAAAAGAAUAAUUCAUAGAGAUUUAAAGGCUGAAAACUUACUGUUGGAUAGUGAAAUGAACAUUAAAAUUGCAGACUUUGGAUUCUCAAAUGAAUUCACGCCUGGAAACAAAUUGGAUACUUUCUGUGGAAGUCCACCCUAUGCAGCACCAGAACUUUUCCAGGGGAAAAAAUAUGAUGGACCUGAAGUUGAUGUCUGGUCCCUUGGAGUGAUAUUAUAUACCUUAGUCUCAGGAAGCUUACCGUUUGAUGGUUCUACCUUGAGGGAGUUACGAGAAAGAGUGUUGCGAGGAAAGUAUCGCAUACCUUUUUAUAUGAGCACAGAUUGUGAAAAUUUGUUAAAAAAAUUCCUGGUUUUGAACCCCGCCAAGAGAGCCAAUCUUGAAACUAUAAUGAAGGAUAAAUGGAUGAACCAGGGGUACGUGGGUUACGAAAACGACGAAUUGAAACCUUAUGUAGAACCUGAAGCAGAUAUGAGCGAUCCAAAGCGAAUCGAAGCUCUAGUCUGUUUGGGUUUCAACAGAUAUGAUGUUGAAAAUUCCUUGGAUUCCCAAAAAUAUGAUGACGCGUAUGCAACGUAUUUACUACUAGGAAGAAAAAGUACCGACCCUGAAAGUGAUGGAAGCCGGAGUGGAAGUAGUUUGUCUCUUAGAAACAUGGCAGGUCAACCGCCCGUUGGCGCUCCGCAACCAACAGCACAGAGUCCUUCACAUCGGGGUGUUCAUCGUUCGAUAUCGGCAACGCACGCCAAGCCUAAUCGAAGGGCCUCAAGCGGAGGAGGCACGAUAGGUGAGACGUUGAGAACAGGACCACAACCGCAAGUACCUGCAACACAAACCAAUAAUCACCAAUCAGGUUUUAAAAGACAAAAUACAGUGGAUAGUGCUACAAUUAAAGAAAAUAGUGCUAGACAUACUACUAGACCUGCCAGUGCUCAAGCGAAAACUGUCACCGAAAAUAGUAUACAACCUCCAAGUAAAGCUCGAACUGUAUCUAAGAACACCCCGUUAUCUUUAGGAACCACAGUUGGUCGUCGAUCUACAAUUGGUUCCGAUGGUAAAUCCGAAAGUACAGAAAAAACUAAUCUAGCCGCCGAAGUAGUGAGUUCUGGUGAGAGCGGAGGCACAGGAGAUUCAUUACGGCCUGCGAAAGGUCAUGUUAAAUCUGCUUCAGUCAGUAGUAGUGGGCCAGAACCUGCUUCUGAUCCGCUACGCACUAGUCGCACAAGUGCAUCACCGGCAACGACAAGGCAGCCCGCAUUCCCUAGAAAUACGUCGUCAAGAAGUACGUUCCAUUCGGGACAAACCCGGCCGAGAGCUACUUAUGCGCAAGCAUCACCUGGAGACUCUCCGCAUACGAGACCGUCGUUCUUUGCAAAGUUUAGUCUUCGGGGCUUCACAAAAAGGAAUUAAGGGCAUUGAGGGACGCACCACCGCAUGCCCGAUGUCCUACACAACGUCUCUGCCGCCGCAAUUGGAACGGACACCACACAUCGCCUCAUACCUCAGCAUUAGAUCCCACCCAACAUGUUAAAUAUAGCAACUCACCAUUACCUACCGUAGGGUAAGUUGACCAAAGAAGGAUAAAAUCAAAUAGAAGAACACAGAUAAUAAAUAUAGUUAAUAGAAUAAUUAAAUAUACAAAAAGCCUAUUCAAUUAAUAUCCAAGCUGUCUGCGAUUUUAUAUUUUAAUAAUGUUUUUUUUUUUAUGAUUUAUAUGUUAGUUUUUGCUUUUAUUACUAUUAUAUUACCUUUAAUUAUCUUCAUACCUAUCCUUAUAAAAAUUAAACUGUAUGUUCCCACAAGGUCGUCUUAGUUUAAGCCUUACCAACGUAGGAGUCGUGAUUGGUUAAUACUUGCUUAUUUGGGGCAGAUUCGUUAAAUAUGGUUAAAUAUAGUUAAAGGCAUAUCUAAAUAUUUAUAAUUUCGUUAAACGUUAAACUGCAUAUUAUGAACUGUUUUGUGCAGUUUAACUCUUAAUAUUGAUUUUUACCAAAUUUUGAGCACGCAGUACAUAUAAUGUCAAAACUACGCUUGGAAUAAAUUUAAAAUACUGGGACAAAUCAGUUGGUUAUCUUAGUUAUCCUAUUUUCGGUGUUCAUUAUUUUUUGCGACGUCGUUAAUUUUAAACCGUGAUUUCUAAUGCAAUUUUUAAAUGAAAUGCUAUAAAUUUUAUUUUUCUAGAAAACUCGUACUUAUCUAUAAUAGAUUAUUUCAGUUGUAAGUUGCAGCGGAUAAAACCCCAUUAAGAAUGUUUUUAUCGGAGAGACUUUGAGGCGGCGUUGUCAAUUGUUCCACUUUUUUUUUUAAGUCUGCAUAUAAAUCUUAUGCAGUUUGCAGUAUUUGUUAUUCUGCUGCUAUUAAUGUUCAAUUUAAACUUUUAUGUAUUAAAAUUUCACUGUGAAUUGCAUUUUUUUUUUUUAAUUUUCGUAUUUCUCAAUGAUAUUACAAUCAGUGACAAGUUUUUUCUUCUACUUUCGAAUUUUUGAAAUCCGGUGUUGUUUCAACAACAAACUGCGAUUUACAACCAAAUUUUAAUAAAUCCAAAUCUAAUCUUAGCAGGAAUAAAUGACGUUAACUUGCAAGAAAUUUUUCAUAACUAAAGUGGUCGCCACGAAUUCUCUAAUGUAGAAUGCAUUGUUUAUGCAUUUCAUACACCGCCAACGGUGAAACGUACAGCAAUUUCUUAGAUAUUUAUUACACUGUUAAUACAAAGAACAAUAGUUAUUAGCUUCGAACCUUAAAACUUGUUAUUGUAAAUUAUCUGUUUAGAUUUUAAACGAAAUUCAAAUGAUUUAUUGUAUUUUGAUGGUUCUAGGUUGUGUCAAAGUUCUUUUUUUGUAUCAUGUAACAAAAACGAAUUUUUUGUUUGCGUAAAAGUGAGGUUAUCCAAAGAACAGUUAAAUAGGAAAAGAUUUAGUGGGACUUUCUUAGAAACAGUUUGUCAACACCAUGUAUAAAAUUUAUUGUUUUCACAGCAAAAGAAACAUUAAAUUGAAUAAUAAACUAAAAUAUGAAAGGGUAAAAAUAAGCGAGAUCGGUCGGAGAUACACGUUUGAAGCUUCAGUUUCCACUAGUUAAUUGCUAUACUAACGACAGGGGGAUCUUUUAAACUUGUAAAUUAGUGAUUAAUAUAGGUUUACGUAAAUAUCGGAUGUAUAGAAUUUCUGAAAGUUCCUUAAAAAGUUAAUGAAUACAUAUAUAGAUAAAUAUUUUACAUAUCCAGUAUGUUUGCUUCCAAAAAAAUUAUAAAUCUAUAGAACAAAGUAGGGUUAUCACUUGACGUAUUCCAAACACGUGUAAGGUGGUAUUUAAUUAUAUUAUUUAUUAAUAAAACUUAUUGGCAGAAUGUUAAUUUAUACUUUACAAAGAAGCUAUUUAUGGAACAGGAAUGUUUGUUUUUAUCUAAGAUGAACAACAGUUCAUGUAACAAACAUACGUGUACCUCGUGUAAGUCUAAAAGCUUUUGAGAGUAAUUUUACUGGUUUCUUAACGUCAUAAAUAUAGUAUGGAAAAACUAAUUUACAGUGACCUUGUCCUUGUUAAUGUUUGUGACUUGCAGUAAAGUGAAAGCACUAAUAUACAUAAAGCACUGUUUCGCAUAAUUUCCACAAGGCGUACAUUUUACAUUUACUUUUCCUACUUUGUAUGAUUAGUUAUUAUUAGACAAAAUUCAAUCGAUAUGCUUCUUCUCACUCGAUUGUCUCAGUGACUUUCACAUUUUUCAUUUACAAAAUGUAAUUAACAAGCGAUUUUGUAUGAAAAUAACGUUGAACUCGUAGUAAAUAUAAUUCAAGCGGGUUAAUUUUCCACCAUGUUUUCCACUUUACAAAUGGCAAGGGUAACUGAACGUUAUUUCCAACACUGGGUUGUGCUGUGUUAUUUAGCAAACAACGAGUAAAAUCAUGAAGUGUGAAUGUGAAAUAUUAUUCAUGUCUCAUGAAUAUGAGCUGAUUGGGAAUAUAUGCAUUCAUUGAAAUUUUUUUUUAUCUGUCCAGAUUGAUUUACACUUAUGACACACUCGAUAUAAUCUGAGAAGUGAGUUGCUAAAAUGUUAGUCUCUUUUAGAUGCGUCUGUUGAAUCUCUUAUUAAAAUCAUCGAAACAAUAUUUCCAAAUGCAUAUUUUCUAAUAAAACAGAUUUAUAGUAACACAUGAAUGCUAAAUGUACAAAAUUGAGAAAUAACUGUCACAAAAUAAUCCAUUUUUCUUUAAUCCCUCUAGACUUUAAGUAGAAAAACAAAUUGAACAUUUUCAAUUUUUAUUAGUUGUUACAGAUUUUUUUUUACCAUCGUCUGAUGCAACUUUGUACGUCAAAAUGCGCUAUCAUUAAUUUAAUUAUUAAUAUUGCUGCAAUGUGUACUAAACAUAUAAGCCAUUGUCUGGGCCUCUUAAUGUGUCUGCCGUUACUAAACUUCGCAAGCAAUAAACGCUUCACCAUACUAA